GGAAUCUUCCGCAAUGGACGAAAGUCUGACGGAGCAACGCCGCGUGAGUGAAGAAGGUUUUCGGAUCGUAAAACUCUGUUGUUAAAGAAGAACAAGGAUGAGAGUAACUGCUCAUCCCCUGACGGUAUUUAACCAGAAAGCCACGGCUAACUACGUGCCAGCAGCCGCGGUAAUACGUAGGUGGCAAGCGUUGUCCGGAUUUAUUGGGCGUAAAGCGAGCGCAGGCGGUUCUUUAAGUCUGAUGUGAAAGCCCCCGGCUCAACCGGGGAGGGUCAUUGGAAACUGGAGAACUUGAGUGCAGAAGAGGAGAGUGGAAUUCCACGUGUAGCGGUGAAAUGCGUAGAUAUGUGGAGGAACACCAGUGGCGAAGGCGACUCUCUGGUCUGUAACUGACGCUGAGGCUCGAAAGCGUGGGGAGCAAACAGGAUUAGAUACCCUAG
RNAcentral lists this ribosomal RNA (440 nucleotides) under uncultured Carnobacterium sp. Its description in RNAcentral is "bacterial SSU rRNA". It matches the Rfam family "Bacterial small subunit ribosomal RNA", at positions 358 to 790 of the family's 1533-position model. Lineage: Bacteria; Bacillati; Bacillota; Bacilli; Lactobacillales; Carnobacteriaceae. The record is from RNAcentral.